Molecule: non-coding RNA, 71 nt
Organism: Phrynosoma platyrhinos (Desert horned lizard)
Lineage: Eukaryota; Metazoa; Chordata; Lepidosauria; Squamata; Phrynosomatidae
Source: the annotation of a GenBank genome assembly
GCCAGUGUGGCAUAGUGGUUUGAGUAUUGGACUAUAACACUGGAGACAGGGUUCAAUUCCCAGCUUGGUCA